UGAAACUGUAUAUAAUUGUUUCGAAUUAGGUUUCUAGUUUACAGUUGCAAAUUAAGAAUUUUUAUUAAAUCUUAUUAUCUUAUAACAAGUUUGUUUAACAUUUCUGGAAUAUAAAUGAGGAUCAUGAAACUGUUGAUUUUUUGCUGAAAUGAAUUUGCAAACUAGAAAACUUUCACUAAAGUUUAUCCUUUACAAAUUGGCUGAAAGUUCUCUUGGACUCGCAUUGCAAAUUCUGAAGGUCAUAUGAUCCUUGUUGGCUCCCCCAUCUAGCUAAAGGCAAUACGAACAAAAGUGCAUGCAACAAAAACAGACGCUCUGAAUGCAUCACAUCAGCUGAGUGUUCUUCUCUCUGUCAAAAGGGGUACACACACACACACAUUCAUAGAUAUAAAGAUCACAUGAAACGUGGAGUGUCUUCUGGCGCCGGGGACACCACAAAAAAGUGCAACUCGGCAUCAUCAAGUGACAGAGAAAGAGAGACGUGUAUGCACAGACAGACACGACCCCCGGGGCCAUGAGGUCGUUUGUGAACAGAAAAAAAUAAACGUCGCGAUGGGAGGGGGGAAGUGUUUUUUCAUCUGGUGGUUUUUUCUAUGGAAUAGGGUCAAAAGUCGGGGACUGACGUAUCGGUUGAGAGGAUUAAGAAAAUGUGCCCACUGUUUCAAUAUAAUAACAACAUGAAACAGCUAAUUUUUUUUCAGAACGCCGUCCGCCACAACCUAUCCCUUCACAAGUGCUUCCAACGAGUCGAGCAGAAUGUGAAAGGAGCUGUAUGGACUGUAGACGAUUCUGAAUUUUAUCGAAGACGUCCCAAUCGAGCAUCUGCUACCAGAAGUCAGCCACAGACACCUUUGCCCGACGAUGUAAGUUUUUAAUUUUCCUUUUUUGCAUGUUUAUAUUCAGGGAGAGUGUUUUCAAAUGUUUCACACAAAUUUGAAAACUUGAAUCCCUGAUCAGAAGGUUAUGUUGCUUUUUAGAGUUCGCUUUGAUAUUAGUGAUAGUGUGAUUGUCUUUUAUCAAUGGACUAAUCCUACCCUCUAGUAGUACUUUUUGUGAUAGUCUUUUUCGGCUUUAACCUUGAUUUUUUCUCUGAUUUUCACCUAAAAAAGCGAACUUUGAAUUGACAUCUUAAACCUGAAACAUGCGAAGCCCAGUUUUUGAAUUCGCACUUGUCAAUUCAGAUUUCGCAGCAAAAAUUGUUUGACACGAGCGCUUUGAGCUCAUUUUUGGAAAUGCAGAACUUCGACCCCGCAUCGCUGACUGGUGAUCAAUUCCAGCUGAAUGGCAAUUUAGACAGUGUUUUGUCGCUUCUUGGUAAGAUUUUUUAUUCAGAAACUUUAGAAAAUUAUCAAAAUGAUUUUUUGCAGCAAACGCCGAUGUGAACAAUCCGUUGCAAAUGCUAUCAGCUGCUGCGGCCGCUGGAAAUCAUUCGGGUGGUAUUCUAGAAGGACAGUUGCUGAAUAAUGUGAAAGAAGAGAUGAUGGAUGUUAGCGAGCCACACAAUGGACAUUUAUUGAGAGGUAAAUUAUUUUGCACCCACUAAUAAAAAACAAAAUAUAAUAACACCAUGAAACAGUAACUUUUCAAAUAAUUUAAUCGCAUUUUUUGUGCACUCGUUUUCCUAAUGUGGAAAGUCAAUUUUAACAUUAAAUUUAUUUUUGAGGCUUUCUAAUUCUGAAGUAUUCUCAUGAUUUCCAUCGUAUUAUUAUUUUCGCAUCCCCUCUAAACCUUGCCAUUGAAACGGUAAAUUUUAGAUUUUUUAAAGCAUUAAAGGUGGAGUAGGGCCAGAUGGUAUUUUGUCCAAUUUUGCUGACAGAAUUAUCUCCAUAUGCCCAAAUAUUUUACUGAAAGACUCGCAAACUUUUUUUUAAAGGUUGUAAGUUUUUCUAUGUAAGGCUUGGUACAAUUGGAUUUUUUGGAAAUUUUGAGAAAUAAUGCAGGUUCAAAAGCCUGCAGUGCUCAAACACAAGAUUAAAAUAUAAAAAUUGUAGAAAGCCAUUUAUUUUUGAUUGACCUCCAAAAUUAGUUGAAAAUUGAGAAAUUCGCACAUUUUGGCAAUGUUUUUCUCGAAUAUUUUUUCAAGAUGGUUUUACUAUGAUAUAUAAUUUUUUAAAAAAGUGGUUUCAAACAAUUUCCCUACUGACGCUGCUCAAUCUAAACAUAUUGAAGGCAAACAAUAUUGUUUUUUUUUUGAUAAGCACCUAAAAUCUUUUUUGAUAGAUAGUUGAAAUACAUAAUUGUCUAUUAACCUAAAGUUUAAAACCAAUAGAACUUUAACAUGAACUUGUAUUCAUCGAAGUUUCGAAACAGUAACCCCCAUUUAACACCACGCCUGCUUGUUUCUGCUAUAACCGCUUCUAAUAAUUACAGAAAUCACUCAAAACAAAAACUGAAAUCCUCCUCCUCCUUCUCCAUCCAUCCAUAUAAAUUUCAGUGGCUCGGCACAUUCAAAAAGCUUCAAAGCGGCCUGCGUCAGCAAAUCCAUCGAAUCUUUGCUGAUGCUCCAAACAUGCAUUUAGUAACUUAUCGAAGAAGAAGAAGUCACAAACAUUUUCAUUAAACUAGGGUGUUUAUAUAUCAGUUAGGAUAUUCAUUUUUCUUUCAAUUUUUCAUUUUUUCUUCCUUUUCUCCAAAAAACUUUUGCAAUACAAUGGAAUACCCAUGUUUUGUGCUCCUCUCAGAUUCCCCAUCCUCAGCAAACUAUUACGGUCUCUUUUUCCUUAGUUUGUACCCUUUUCAUAUUGAUUGUUGCCUUUUUUGUUUCUCAGUUUUCAUUAUAUUUUUCUCAGUCUUCCAUUUAUAUAUAUCUCCCUCUUUUCUACCAAACAAAAACCAUUUCCAAGAGCAUUCGAUGAUCCCGACACUACACAUUUGAUCUACUACCAUCUUCCAACACACUUUCCCGCCUUUUUUCUCUCGUUGUCAGGGUCUCUCCAACAUCCUUCUAAUCUCUCGAUUCAUCUCCCAUUACAGUAGCGUUGUUUUCUUUGUUUGUGAUUCGCCCUGUCUGAAACUGUUUCAGAAACUCUUAAUAUUCACUGAAAUUACCUCCUUCUCCCAUUUUGCCCACACUUUGUAUUUUAUGCGCAAGUUGUGAUUUGUGUGAUGGUUUUUACUUUUUCAACAAUUUUUCGCCCAUUUCCUCCCAUUUUCUACUUUCUUUUUAUCAUUGAAUUACCUCAAUUCAAAUUG
Caenorhabditis elegans is the source of this 3192-nucleotide RNA transcript. It is a transcript of the gene named Non-coding transcript of protein-coding gene fkh-7, with no coding region annotated. The record is from RefSeq and is marked reviewed. The transcript has a single exon. Lineage: Eukaryota; Metazoa; Nematoda; Chromadorea; Rhabditida; Rhabditidae.